CAAAGUGCUGGGAUUACAGGCGUGAGCCAUCGCACCUGGCCUGAGUUUGCAUUUCUAGGUUCCCAGAUGAUGUGACAGCUACUGGUCUCCAGCCACACCUUGAGAACACUUGGCUUUGACUACCACUUCUUAAACUUAAAGGAAAACUAGACAAUCCACCAGCCCAGGAGGGGACAAGCAGGCUUAUUCCUCCUCCUCGUCAUCUCUGGCUCCAGCCCCACCCUGGCCCUUGCUGGCAUUCUUCCUCUUCACGUGGCUGGGGUUGGCCACCCCAAUAGGGAAGCAGAGGGAGAAGUCAAUGUGCUUCUGGGAAUCCAGGCGGACAGUGAAGAACAGGAUAUUUACCACCUGCUCACGGACACGGAUAUGACACUGUUGAAUCAGCACAUGAGCGUGGCGGAUGGACUUAGCCAAGCCAAGCUUGAAGACCUGGGUCUGUAGGAAUCUCUAAGAAAUCAUUGAUCUUCAGGCCCAGGAUGUAAUCCAGCUUCAUCUUGCCCUCAUCCAGCACCCCAGUGCGGACCAGCCACUGCAGCAGGGCAAUGCCUUCGAACAGACGCCGUGGGUCCUUCUCAUCAAGCGUCAGCAGCUCCCGGGCGGCCUUAUGGAUCUUGACCAGGGUAAAUUUGACCCUCCAGACCUCACAUUUGUUCUGGAGCCCAUACUCACCAAUCAGCUUUAGCUUUUGGUCGAGAUGAGGUUUCUCGAAGGGUCUCUGCAGGGUCACAUAAGUUUGGCAACAAACCCAGCUCUGGGCCGCUGGCAUGUUGGCUCCACUUGCCCG
Molecule: long non-coding RNA, 784 nt
Filed under: Homo sapiens (human)
Lineage: Eukaryota; Metazoa; Chordata; Mammalia; Primates; Hominidae
Description: non-protein coding CBR3-AS1:27
Source: RNAcentral